AGAGAGAUGCAACUGCGAAAAUGGAAAAUGUGUUAAGUCAGGAGAAGAAUAUAAAUGUAUAUGCAACCCUGAUCAUGGAAUGUACUCGACUGGAGUUUGCAAAGCUUGUAACUGCGGAAAAAACUUCACCUGCACUUUUGAUAGAGGAAUAUUUUGGGAUACAACAUACUGCAUGUGUCGUGAAGGCUACUCAAUGGUCAAUAAAGAAUGCCUAAGGAACAAGAUACUGUGAAAAGAAGUUGAAAAUGGAAGACGAAGUCAUACGCGUUUUAAAAAUUAUCAAUAUUUUGAGAAUAUAAAAUAGCGAAAACUCUGUAAAGUGUCCUAAUGUUAAAUCCAUAAGUAAAACAAUUAUUCUUCGUCUUUACUUAAGACGGUAAAUAUAAUAAAAGAAAUUGCUGUGAAAUUUCAGAAAAUUUGGUGUGAAAU
This is a long non-coding RNA of Uloborus diversus, 429 nucleotides long. RefSeq lists it as uncharacterized. The record is from RefSeq and is a predicted model, not a curated record. The transcript has 3 exons. NCBI's taxonomy places the organism in Eukaryota, Metazoa, Arthropoda, Arachnida, Araneae, Uloboridae.